CACGUAGGGAGCAAGCGUUAUCCGGAUUUAUUGGGUGUAAAGGGUGCGUAGACGGAGAAGCAAGUUAGUUGUGAAAUCCCUCGGCUUAACUGAGGAACUGCAACUAAAACUACUUCCCUUGAGUACUGGAGAGGAAAGUGGAAUUCCUAGUGUAGCGGUGAAAUGCGUAGAUAUUAGGAGGAACACCAGUGGCGAAGGCGACUUUCUGGACAGUAACUGACGUUGAGGCACGAAAGUGUGGGGAGCAAACAGG
This 253-nucleotide ribosomal RNA is filed under the name uncultured bacterium. RNAcentral's name for it is "partial 16S ribosomal RNA". It matches the Rfam family "Bacterial small subunit ribosomal RNA", at positions 524 to 776 of the family's 1533-position model. The record is from RNAcentral.